RNAcentral lists this transfer RNA (71 nucleotides) under Myotis lucifugus (little brown bat). It matches the Rfam family "tRNA". From Rfam's summary of the family: Transfer RNA (tRNA) molecules are approximately 80 nucleotides in length. Their secondary structure includes four short double-helical elements and three loops (D, anti-codon, and T loops). The record is from Rfam by way of RNAcentral. Lineage: Eukaryota; Metazoa; Chordata; Mammalia; Chiroptera; Vespertilionidae.
GCCAGCAUGGCUCAGUGGUUGAGCUUUGAAGUGUAAACAAGAAGAUCCGGGUUCCAUUCCCAGUAUUGGCA